This is a long non-coding RNA of Diceros bicornis minor, 194 nucleotides long. RefSeq lists it as uncharacterized. The transcript has 2 exons. NCBI's taxonomy places the organism in Eukaryota, Metazoa, Chordata, Mammalia, Perissodactyla, Rhinocerotidae. The record is from RefSeq and is a predicted model, not a curated record.
CGGACGCCGCCGACCGCUGGCGGUGCGCACAAGUUCGGUGCUCAACUUCCCGCUCUUAACGAGACCUGGGAUCCCUUUGGAGAGGCCCUCGGGAGCUGGCGGCGGGGCUGGGAGUGGCGUGGAGAGGAGUUUCUGUGAAGAGCAGGACACUUCAUCCCCAAUAACAGGAGGGAAGGCACAGAAUAUGGCUAGAG